Molecule: long non-coding RNA, 2256 nt
Organism: Astatotilapia calliptera (eastern happy)
Lineage: Eukaryota; Metazoa; Chordata; Actinopteri; Cichliformes; Cichlidae
Source: Ensembl
GAACAUACAACACGUUCUCACUCCCAACUCGUCAAACGUGUGACGCAUGGUCAGGCUCCCUCUGCUGCACUUAUGGACGCGCAGGGUACCCCUCUCGCGUUGGGAAUUGACGUGAAGGGUCCUCCGAUUGAAGAGAUUGCUGCGGAAGUGCCUGCUGUCGGUAUAUUUAGACAUUUUCCAAAUCACAUUGUAGUGACGUAUACAGAACACAAUAAAUUAUAUAAUGUAAACAACUACCUGAAAAACAGGUAGAACGAUGCUUUUGUAUCGUUUAUUGCAUUUACGGAGGGAGUGAUGUAUGCUGGGUAAUGGCACAGCUAGCUACUGGGUGACUUUAUUCACCCGCUUCGGCUGUUAUCAGUCCAUACAAUGGGCGUUAUUAGCACAAACCAGUCCCAUAGAUAUGGGCCAUCUCCUGCUAGAUUGUUCAGAAGGUUGUUCUCAUCCAUCCAGAUGGAGGAUCACUAACAGGAGCGUGGAAGACUCCAGAAUCCACUCUGGCUGGAAUCCGGUGGAUAUGCAGUGUUUACAGGUACAGUACGUGAUAUCAAGGGCAGGCGGUCAACACUGGGGGUAGACAAGAAGCAGACGUACUUCCAAGAGGGAGCUGCAGUGAGGACACAGCCAGGUCACUGAGGAGGCGCUGGAAGGUUUCCCUAAUAGUUCCUGGUGAAUCAAAGCAGAACCAUAAAGGUUGCUGGACUGCAUGAUGGCCUUACCCCUGAGCAGUCAUCCUGUUAAAGGAGGAACCACUUAGCUGUUUUCAAAGUAGCUGAGCAGAUUUCAUCUCAACAGACAAAGCCGAUUGCAGAAGAUGUCGGAGAAGAACUUCAGGCCGUGUACUGAAAAGGUAUUUUUUUCUUGUUAUCAAAGACAUUUGGAGUGACGGCUUCUACAACUGGUUGUGCUAAAGUAACGCUUACAGUCUAAGAAAUCAUAGUGUUGAUAUUCAGCACAAAGAGAAAAGCUCACUUGUUUGAAUUUAUUUACAAUCAUAGUUUUAUAAAUUCUGAAUGUAAACAUCUUUUACAGCUUUGAUAUUGUUUGACACUAGAUAUCAGGUUUAAUUUAAAGGUUUCUGUGUCCCAAUGAGCCAUUUACACUGAUCAGUGUCAGUUUAACUGUAACACAUUCAUUAUUUAGAUUCAACAAAGAAAUAACUGAAUGUAAAAAUGGCAGCCCACAGGCCAGGUUUAUAGAGAUAUAUGCAUGCAUUAUGAAAUUUAUAUAUCCCAGAUAAUUGUUAUUCCUCUAGUCAUGGCAGACCCACCUCUUCCUCCCAAGUUAACUGCAACCCAAAAGAACUAGUGGGGCUAUUUACACACUCACAACCAGUGUGGGGUAAAAAGAGCCACCAAAAAGCUGUCAGCCACAGAUGUGCUAGAAGAGUUAGAAACUCUACUUAUGGAGAAACUUUCUAAGUCUAACAGAGGACAGGUACUCCUGCCCAAAUAACAUGAUAUAACCCCACAUACAGCCCAGCCAUAAAGUGAACCAAGUCAUUUAGUUAAAGACAGCAUGGGACCAAAUGCAUGUAACCAGCCUGCACCAACCUGGCAUUUCUUCCUCCUGAAUUAAAUGAAUGAAUGGAUGAAAGUUAAAUGACUACAAACCUAAAGCCACUAGUUCCCACACUGGAGCUCCCUGACACUGUGUGUUAACCGUAUUUAGCUUGUAUCAACAGUUGUAACAGGCUAAGCCACCUGAGACACUGCAUUGAAUUUGUUCCUGUCUUAAUGAUUUCAGCUCAGAUGUUCUGCUUUUUCAUUUCAGUAGAUCAAAGCAGCUUGUGCUCCUUCUGCUUCCAAUUUAGAAGAAGAAGGCGAAGGCUUCAGCGAAGUGGCGUUCAUGGUCUCAGUGAACAGUCAUGGCCACACACUGCAUGUGGUUUUAAAAGCAACAUGUCUGUUCACCACAACAAUGGAGAUGUGUAAUAUUAGUGCAGCUACGGUUUGUUUUUGAACAUCAGUUCUGUUUUCUACUUUGAUCACUUAGACCAAAAAAGUGUUGUUUUCAGAUUCUUUCUUUUACAUCUAUAAACCACCUGUUCAUUUUUUUUAUUACAAUUAGUUUCACAUGAAUGUUAGUGUUUCCUUUAUGAUCUUUUAAUGCUUACACUACACUGUACAUGUCUACAUUAGAGACAUUUCUGUUACCUGUUUCUGUUGACUCAGAGUUGUGAAAUGUUCUUUUAUUUGAUGCACAAUAUGAAGCUCAUAAUUUUCUUACAAAUAAAACUCUAAUGACAAACAUGAA